Molecule: ribosomal RNA, 460 nt
Filed under: uncultured bacterium
Lineage: Bacteria
Description: partial 16S ribosomal RNA
Rfam family: Bacterial small subunit ribosomal RNA
Source: RNAcentral
CCUACGGGGGACAGCAGUGAGGAAUAUUGGUCAAUGGACGAGAGUCUGAACCAGCCAAGUAGCGUGAAGGAUGACUGCCCUAUGGGUUGUAAACUUCUUUUAUAUGGGAAUAAAAUGUUCCACGUGUGGGAUUUUGUAUGUACCAUAUGAAUAAGGAUCGGCUAACUCCGUGCCAGCAGCCGCGGUAAUACGGAGGAUCCGAGCGUUAUCCGGAUUUAUUGGGUUUAAAGGGAGCGUAGGUGGAUUGUUAAGUCAGUUGUGAAAGUUUGCGGCUCAACCGUAAAAUUGCAGUUGAAACUGGCAGUCUUGAGUACAGUAGAGGUGGGCGGAGUUCGUGGUGUAGCGGUGAAAUGCUUAGAUAUCACGAAGAACUCCGAUUGCGAAGGCAGUUCACUGGACUGCAACUGACACUGAGGCUCGAAAGUGUGGGUAUCAAACAGGAUUAGAUACCCCUGUAGUC